This is a non-coding RNA of Parasteatoda tepidariorum (common house spider), 241 nucleotides long. Lineage: Eukaryota; Metazoa; Arthropoda; Arachnida; Araneae; Theridiidae. The record is from RefSeq and is a predicted model, not a curated record.
AAGUAUGCCUGAAGACAACAUGUCUUGCCAAACAGGAGAGAAGUGAAUGAUGCCAAGAGGAGGAACUAUAUUCAGAAAUCUUGGUGAAGGAGGAACAUAUUCAAAUGAAAUCAGUGCUAAGACACGGGCACUGGAGAGUGUUGCCACCUGAUGGAAAUUAAUGCGAUUGGACGAAGCUAUUUCAUCAAGAUUUUGGAUGAGAAUUUUUUUUUAGUCUCUAACUUUGCAGUUUUUAGGAACU